Molecule: ribosomal RNA, 669 nt
Filed under: Citrobacter freundii
Lineage: Bacteria; Pseudomonadati; Pseudomonadota; Gammaproteobacteria; Enterobacterales; Enterobacteriaceae
Also listed under: 4 other names
Description: partial 16S ribosomal RNA
Rfam family: Bacterial small subunit ribosomal RNA
Source: RNAcentral
GUCGACCGCCUGGGGAGUACGGCCGCAAGGUUAAAACUCAAAUGAAUUGACGGGGGCCCGCACAAGCGGUGGAGCAUGUGGUUUAAUUCGAUGCAACGCGAAGAACCUUACCUACUCUUGACAUCCAGAGAACUUAGCAGAGAUGCUUUGGUGCCUUCGGGAACUCUGAGACAGGUGCUGCAUGGCUGUCGUCAGCUCGUGUUGUGAAAUGUUGGGUUAAGUCCCGCAACGAGCGCAACCCUUAUCCUUUGUUGCCAGCGGUUCGGCCGGGAACUCAAAGGAGACUGCCAGUGAUAAACUGGAGGAAGGUGGGGAUGACGUCAAGUCAUCAUGGCCCUUACGAGUAGGGCUACACACGUGCUACAAUGGCAUAUACAAAGAGAAGCGACCUCGCGAGAGCAAGCGGACCUCAUAAAGUAUGUCGUAGUCCGGAUUGGAGUCUGCAACUCGACUCCAUGAAGUCGGAAUCGCUAGUAAUCGUGGAUCAGAAUGCCACGGUGAAUACGUUCCCGGGCCUUGUACACACCGCCCGUCACACCAUGGGAGUGGGUUGCAAAAGAAGUAGGUAGCUUAACCUUCGGGAGGGCGCUUACCACUUUGUGAUUCAUGACUGGGGUGAAGUCGUAACAAGGUAACCGUAGGGGAACCUGCGGUUGGAUCACCUCCUUA